This is an RNA transcript of Sardina pilchardus (European sardine), 973 nucleotides long. It is a transcript of the gene named phospholipase A2 inhibitor and Ly6/PLAUR domain-containing protein-like, with no coding region annotated. NCBI's taxonomy places the organism in Eukaryota, Metazoa, Chordata, Actinopteri, Clupeiformes, Clupeidae. The record is from RefSeq and is a predicted model, not a curated record. The transcript has 5 exons.
GUUCCUGAACAAACUCUUCCACGCAUACGCAGUCGACGGCGGUUUGCAUCUUGACAACAACCGGCCAGUCUAAUGAAGUUUGAUACCUGUGCAGAUAGCAUCAGAUGACAUUUACUGUUGUAUUUUAUUUUACCAGUGUAACGUGAGAAAACAACUGGCCACCGCCGAAAAGGACUGGAGUGCAUCACGUGCGUUAAUGCGGCUGGACCUUGCAGUGGACCAUCACUGCAGUGUCCCUCAGUUCUUGACUCCUGUACCAGCAUCACAGCUGCUACUGUCAUAGGGGGUUCAGAUCUAGCUGAAGCUAAUUUCAAAAGCUGCUUCCGCAAUGAUCAGUGUUUCAAUGGAUCGUUGAACUUAGGAAGUACUGCGAGGAUAACUUUGAGCACCUCGUGCUGUAACACAGACAGCUGCAACACCGGAACUCCGGCAGCGGUAGCAAACAACAGUGCCAACGGGAGGCAGUGUUUCAGCUGUGGCUUGAUAGGCUGCUCAUCGACACUUCAGUGUGUCGGUAAUGAAGAUCGAUGUAUCACAGCAUCAGUGGUUGUAGCAGGACUGAGCACCACUCUAAAGGGCUGUGCCACCAGCAAUGUCUGCUCUGGAGAUUUUACAUCUCAGCUGGAGUCGACAGCAGUGGACCUGUCCUGCUGUGAGGGGAACCUGUGUAAUAGCACCUGGAGUGCUGGCCACAGCGUCCUGCUCCUGUUCUGGACCCUGCUCUCUGUUCUGCUCUUACUGAGCUGACUGCAACUCGGGUGACUCCUCUGCAGUGUCUGUUUUUUUUUGUUUGUUUGUUUGUUUGUUUUUUAAAGCUUACUCGCUUACUCGCUUACUCACUUACUCAUAAUGUCUAAAAAAAACCACACCUCUCUAUACAGUAUGUAAGCCAGGAGCAAAUAAACAAAGUGUUUUCAUUUGUGAGCAAAAUAAUAAAUAUUUCAGAUUUUAAUCAGUCUGGAUAUUUAUAUCA